Molecule: transfer RNA, 81 nt
Filed under: Candidatus Roizmanbacteria bacterium RIFCSPHIGHO2_12_FULL_37_23
Lineage: Bacteria; Candidatus Roizmaniibacteriota
Also listed under: 2 other names
Description: tRNA-Leu
Rfam family: tRNA
About the family: Transfer RNA (tRNA) molecules are approximately 80 nucleotides in length. Their secondary structure includes four short double-helical elements and three loops (D, anti-codon, and T loops).
Source: RNAcentral
GCCGGAGUGGUGAAAUGGCAGACACGCAGGAUUUAGGAUCCUGUGCCGUAAGGCGUGGAGGUUCAAAUCCUCUCUCCGGCA